GAACGCUUCUCUUCGGAGAGGAGUGGCGCACGGGUGAGUAACGCGUGGGAACCUGCCCUGGGGUGGGGGAUAACCGAUGGAAACGUCGGCUAAUACCGCAUACGUCCUGAGGGAGAAAGAUUUAUCGCCCUAGGAGGGGCCCGCGUCGGAUUAGCUAGUUGGUGGGGUAACGGCCUACCAAGGCGAUGAUCCGUAGCUGGUCUGAGAGGAUGAUCAGCCACACUGGGACUGAGACACGGCCCAGACUCCUACGGGAGGCAGCAGUGGGGAAUAUUGGACAAUGGGCGCAAGCCUGAUCCAGCAAUGCCGCGUGAGUGAUGAAGGCCUUAGGGUUGUAAAGCUCUUUCGGCGGGGACGAUGAUGACGGUACCCGCAGAAGAAGCCCCGGCUAACUUCGUG
Molecule: ribosomal RNA, 399 nt
Filed under: uncultured bacterium
Lineage: Bacteria
Description: bacterial SSU rRNA
Rfam family: Bacterial small subunit ribosomal RNA
Source: RNAcentral